UACGUAGGAUGCAAGCGUUGUCCGGAUUUAUUGGGCGUAAAGAGCGCGCAGGCGGUGUAUCAAGUUUGAUGUGAAAGAGGCCGGCUUAACCGGCAAGGGUCAUUUGAAACUGAUAGACUAGAGUGCAGCAGAGGAUAGUGGAAUUCCCGGUGUAGUGGUGAAAUGCGUAGAUAUCGGGAGGAAUACCAGUGGCGAAGGCGACGAUCUGGGCUGCAACUGACGCUGAGGCGCGAAGGCUAGGGUAGCAAACAGG
This 253-nucleotide ribosomal RNA is filed under the name uncultured bacterium. RNAcentral's name for it is "partial 16S ribosomal RNA". It matches the Rfam family "Bacterial small subunit ribosomal RNA", at positions 524 to 776 of the family's 1533-position model. The record is from RNAcentral.